CCAUCUCCCUUCUCCUAAUCUCCUGUAAGUCUGUAACAAACUCGCGAUCCAUCUUCCCAAUCCCACAUUUUUCUGCACUUAAAAAAGAGAUCUCGAUCCGUCUCCUCGUCUCCUGUACUCUGUCCCGAGCAAGCGAGGCGAGCAAAUCGAUGCGCAGCGGCGGCGAUCGAUCGAACGAAUCGAUCCGUUCCUGAUGGGUGGGCGGCAACCGGCAGGCCGCAGGCUGCUGAUCAACUAUUGAUGGUGCAGGCUGCAGCGCCGACGUGACCACACCUCCCUCACGAGUCAUGGCCACGGCGCACGCUGGAAUUUCUCUUCCCCUCUGUUAGCUAAUUAGUAAUGAUAUGAACAAGUUUCUUCUCAAGAGAAAGGCACCAUCACAUUCGCAAUUAGAGAACAGAACAGCGAACCGAAAUGUCAUACUCCAGAACUUGAGCUUCCCCAAUGAGUUACUCACUGUUUGUUUUGCUCUGUCCGAGUUGCAUGCAAUGAAUCCAAGUGGCAACUGAAUGUUGAUGUAAUGUAUGGAGAAGAUGUGAUCGCCGGAAAAAGAUGGCCUCGCCGGCAACUGGGAGACGUGUCUUGGGGUUUUCGGUGAUGGAUCGGCCUGACUGGCUAGUGCAAAAGCUUCAUUGUAGUGGCCCAGUGCAUCCCACGCUGAUAGCUAGCUACACAGUGUGGAGCCUACGGCGACAAAGUCCCGGUGGGCGGGUCAUGUGGUUUGCCGCUCUUCCCUGUUGGACACGGAAACAUGGGAUGUGCUAGCUGCACUCCACUAUUGGUAUAUUCUCUUUUUGU
Triticum dicoccoides is the source of this 798-nucleotide long non-coding RNA. RefSeq lists it as uncharacterized. The record is from RefSeq and is a predicted model, not a curated record. NCBI's taxonomy places the organism in Eukaryota, Viridiplantae, Streptophyta, Magnoliopsida, Poales, Poaceae. The transcript has 3 exons.